This 443-nucleotide long non-coding RNA is filed under the name Daucus carota (carrot). RNAcentral's name for it is "long non-coding RNA (DCAR_LNC004166)". Lineage: Eukaryota; Viridiplantae; Streptophyta; Magnoliopsida; Apiales; Apiaceae. The record is from RNAcentral.
CUCUCGCAGCAUCUCUCUCGGCUCCUCUCGCUCUCCUUCAAAACCCUAAUUUUCUCCGGCGAUUUCUUUUGAUUUCUUCACCGGAAUCCAUUCCUUUAUCACAGAUAUUGCACUCUCCUGUAUUCAUCUCAUAGAUUUUGAGAAUGAAUUACAUUGCAUGCCGGGUUUGAGACAGAAAACUGAUUUCGAUCCUCCAUUUUGGCAUCGAUCAAUUGAUGUCAAGAGAAUGGACGAAAUCCACAGUGUUUUACAAGCUACAAUCGAUUUUUGCUUCAUUUUUAUGUUUCGAUUUUAAAACCCCUGCUUCAAAAUCGUGUGUUUUGUGGUGAAUCAACUCGAAAGCUGCUUAAUAUGCUUUUGUUGAACAAUCGGAGUUGAUUUAACAUUAAAACCCCAAAUUUGGUUUAAUAAUUUUAAAACCCUCGAAUUGGAAUAAUGAGUUU